Molecule: ribosomal RNA, 489 nt
Filed under: uncultured bacterium
Lineage: Bacteria
Description: partial 16S ribosomal RNA
Rfam family: Bacterial small subunit ribosomal RNA
Source: RNAcentral
AUUGAACGCUGGCGGCAGGCCUAACACAUGCAAGUCGAACGGUAGCAGGAAGCAGCUUGCUGCUUUGCUGACGAGUGGCGGACGGGUGAGUAAUGUCUGGGAAACUGCCCGAUGGAGGGGGAUAACUACUGGAAACGGUAGCUAAUACCGCAUAACGUCGCAAGACCAAAGAGGGGGACCUUAGGGCCUCUUGCCAUCGGAUGUGCCCAGAUGGGAUUAGCUAGUAGGUGGGGUAACGGCUCACCUAGGCGACGAUCCCUAGCUGGUCUGAGAGGAUGACCAGCCACACUGGAACUGAGACACGUUCCAGACUCCUACGGGAGGCAGCAGUGGGGAAUAUUGCACAAUGGGCGCAAGCCUGAUGCAGCCAUGCCGCGUGUAUGAAGAAGGCCUUCGGGUUGCAAAGUACUUUCAGCGGGGAGGAAGGGAGUAAAGUUAAUACCUUUGCUCAUUGACGUUACCCGCAGAAGAAGCACCGGCUAACUCCGU